UCCCCUUCUCUCUCCAUUCUCUCUGAAACUCUUACAAACCCUAGCCAUAUCCAUCAAACUACACCCAUAAUACCUCAUUAAUCUAUGGCCUCAUGUGGUCAUUUAAAACUUGUACCAGCCUUUCAUGGCUUCUGUGUGUUUGUUCUUAUCUCGAGGCCAUAUCUUGAAAGCUUUUGGUCCAGGCCUUGUUCGAUUUUAGUUCAUGACUAUUCUCUGGUCGUCUCUGACCUUUCUCCGGCCAGCCAUGGCCAUUCAGGUCAGUAUUUUGACUCUCUUGCUUAGAUUGAUGGUUUUCAAGGCCUUUCUCAUCACUGGGGUUCUUCUGAAACCCUAACCUCUAAGGUUCUUUGGAUUUCUUUAGUUCUUCUUCAUAUCUAUGUUUUCUUUGAACUUCUAAGCUUUUUUCUCGAAGUUUCUUUUUAAAACUCUGCUUUCAAAACCCCUUAUCUUUUCCAAUUAUGGUUCUUGUUAAGUUAUUUCAAAACUUUUCUCUUAUUUUUUUCACAUGUUUUUGAUAUGUUUGCUCAUACCGUACUUCUAUAUGAGUUUGCAUGUUAAAAGCCCUAAUUUCCUUUGGCUGUUUAUUAGACGGAUACUUUGCUUGCCUGAGUUUUGUCCGAUUUGUUUGUUUAUCCAUCUUCUAAAAUUCUACUAUUGUUGAAAACCCUAUGGCUUUGGGUCUGAGAUUGUUAGUUUAAGUACGUGACUCAAUUUGAAGUUUUUUAUUUCAAAAUCUCUUAUUCUUUUGUGUAAUUCUUUUGACUCUGGUUUUCUAUCUUCUCUAAAACUCGAUUAUGCUCGAAAAUAUAAUUUUUCAAAAGGAUUUUUCCUCACCUGCUACUUUGAGAUCUUCGCAUGCCCUUGAUAUUCUAUGUUUUAUUCACUACUGAUUCAAUGAGACUUGACCUACUGGACUAUCAUGCUUCGAAUGCUACUAUCUACUGAAUUUUGUGCUACUAUUGUAUGUUAUUUCCUUUUGACAACAUGAUUGCCCUCGCAUGUAUAGUGUUUAUUCACCCUAUUUAUAUGUUGAGUUUCCUUCUUUGACUGAUCUUCAAACUUGUGACUGAUUUCAAACUUUUCCUUUGUGAAAUUUCGAAUUUAUUCACCUGUUAAGGUUAACUGAUUUCUUUUCUUGUUUUGUCUUACUAAAUCCUUUCCAAAAUUAGAGUAUUUCUAAACCUAGGCUCGAUUGCUUACUUAAUGUUUUACUACUUCUUUUAUGGCAACUAUCAGCCUGCUGACAAAUUAAUUUCUUUCCUUAUUUUGAACAUGUCACUGCCCGUUAAGCAAGUGAUCUCUUAAUUAAAGGCAACCACUUGUAUAGUUGAUUCUGAAUCAUGAUUGUUUCCAUGUUUAUAGCUUAUUACCUCUCUCUUACUUGUUUUAAAAAAAAACUAUAAAUGCCCUUUACAUCUUUUCUUCCAAAGACAUGAACACAAGGCAAAAACACUUGAGUUCAAACACACAUUCCACUAAAUCUCUCUCUUUUCUCUGUUUCUACUAUAUUGCUGCCUUACCUAGCCAGCUGAAAGCCAAGUCUAGGUCGUGGGAACUUGCUUAUUUUUCUGCAUUUGCAUUUCUUACUUGUAUGUCCUACUUAAGCUUCUGCACCAACAACAACAUGCUUAUUUACUAUUUCUUGCAUUCUUGUCUACCUACUAUUUGUAUUUAACCCAGUACCAUUAUUAAGCAUGUUGUAAUUUCCCUUCUCAUGUUCUAGACUAAUGUAUUAUGAACUGUGAAACCUAAACCCCUACACCAACAUGUUUUAUACUUAUGGUUGGUUUGGAGCUUGACAAAAUUGAAAAUUUGAGGUGCAUGAACCAAACCUGGUUCCCCUAGGAUCAUAACCUCCAUAUUUCUCUCAUAUGUUCUGUGUUCUGAUUAGUUUACAGGUAUGUAAGAACUUCCCAUUGUUGUGUAUGGCCAAAUCUAACCCAUGCCUAAGUGUGUAGGCUCAUUGCAAUACGUUCCCAAUCCUUUGACCCCUUUUGCAUGAGGUUAUUAACUCUGUGAAAUGGCAAAGGUUGUCUCCCUGUCCCUUCUCCUUUAUUCCCUCCGUUUUAAAAACUUUGUUUCUGCACUUUCACCUUUUCUUAGAACUUAAGUUCUGCCCCCUUAUGUGAGCCUUGCCUUGGGACCCAUGAGCUCCAUCUAAACUUGGACACAUAAGGAUUGGCUCUUUCACACUGCACUCAUCUCUAUUCUGGCUAUGUAACUAGGGUGUGAGAACUAUCCAGUGUCCUAUUGAGACCCUUAGGACUGUGACACACUCAAGUCUGAAAAAGUUUUGGAUCAAUGGCAUUUGAGGUGGUUUAUUCCAUAACUCUGAGAGGAUGUGAAAAUUCAUGCUUCCUUUUAUUGUAACUUUUCUUUCUACUUUUCUC
RNAcentral lists this long non-coding RNA (2390 nucleotides) under Nicotiana benthamiana. RNAcentral's name for it is "long non-coding RNA (NBEN_LNC010569)". The record is from RNAcentral. Lineage: Eukaryota; Viridiplantae; Streptophyta; Magnoliopsida; Solanales; Solanaceae.